GGUUCCGUAGUGUAGUGGUUAUCACGUUCGCUUCACACACGAAAGGUCUCCGGUUCGAUCCCGGACGAACCA
Molecule: transfer RNA, 72 nt
Filed under: Trichonephila inaurata madagascariensis
Lineage: Eukaryota; Metazoa; Arthropoda; Arachnida; Araneae; Nephilidae
Rfam family: tRNA
About the family: Transfer RNA (tRNA) molecules are approximately 80 nucleotides in length. Their secondary structure includes four short double-helical elements and three loops (D, anti-codon, and T loops). Further hydrogen bonds mediate the characteristic L-shaped molecular structure. tRNAs have two regions of fundamental functional importance: the anti-codon, which is responsible for specific mRNA codon recognition, and the 3' end, to which the tRNAs corresponding amino acid is attached (by aminoacyl-tRNA synthetases). tRNAs cope with the degeneracy of the genetic code in two manners: having more than one tRNA (with a specific anti-codon) for a particular amino acid; and 'wobble' base-pairing, i.e. permitting non-standard base-pairing at the 3rd anti-codon position.
Source: Rfam by way of RNAcentral